RNAcentral lists this ribosomal RNA (265 nucleotides) under Enterobacter cloacae. RNAcentral's name for it is "partial 23S ribosomal RNA". It matches the Rfam family "Bacterial large subunit ribosomal RNA", at positions 422 to 691 of the family's 2925-position model. Lineage: Bacteria; Pseudomonadati; Pseudomonadota; Gammaproteobacteria; Enterobacterales; Enterobacteriaceae. The record is from RNAcentral.
ACACGUGGUAUCCUGUCUGAAUAUGGGGGGACCAUCCUCCAAGGCUAAAUACUCCUGACUGACCGAUAGUGAACCAGUACCGUGAGGGAAAGGCGAAAAGAACCCCGGCGAGGGGAGUGAAAAAGAACCUGAAACCGUGUACGUACAAGCAGUGGGAGCACCUUCGGGUGUGACUGCGUACCUUUUGUAUAAUGGGUCAGCGACUUAUAUUCUGUAGCAAGGUUAACCGUAUAGGGGAGCCGAAGGGAAACCGAGUCUUAACUGG